RNAcentral lists this small nuclear RNA (23 nucleotides) under Arabidopsis thaliana (thale cress). RNAcentral's name for it is "snRNA_09609". Lineage: Eukaryota; Viridiplantae; Streptophyta; Magnoliopsida; Brassicales; Brassicaceae. The record is from RNAcentral.
AUUAAACAAUCUAAAAAAAUCCA